Molecule: small nucleolar RNA, 120 nt
Filed under: Echinops telfairi (small Madagascar hedgehog)
Lineage: Eukaryota; Metazoa; Chordata; Mammalia; Afrosoricida; Tenrecidae
Description: Small nucleolar RNA SNORA61 (ENSETEG00000026006.1)
Source: RNAcentral
ACCCUCCAGAUUCCUUACCACUCAUACCUAAAUAUUGGUCUCAGUGGCGAAGAAAGGAGAAAAAGUAAAACUGAAGUGGAUUUGUGGCUUUAGUGACAUGAAAAUUCAUUUAAAACAUAC